UACAGAGGGGGCAAGCGUUGUUCGGAAUUACUGGGCGUAAAGGGCGCGUAGGCGGCCCGCUAAGUCGAACGUGAAAUCCCCAGGCUCAACCUGGGAACUGCGUCCGAUACUGGCAGGCUUGAAUCCGGGAGAGGGAUGUGGAAUUCCAGGUGUAGCGGUGAAAUGCGUAGAUAUCUGGAGGAACACCGGUGGCGAAGGCGGCAUCCUGGACCGGUAUUGACGCUGAGGCACGAAAGCCAGGGGAGCGAACGGG
RNAcentral lists this ribosomal RNA (253 nucleotides) under uncultured bacterium. Its description in RNAcentral is "partial 16S ribosomal RNA". It matches the Rfam family "Bacterial small subunit ribosomal RNA", at positions 524 to 776 of the family's 1533-position model. The record is from RNAcentral.